RNAcentral lists this transfer RNA (69 nucleotides) under Oegoconia novimundi. RNAcentral describes it as "tRNA-Gln". The record is from RNAcentral. Lineage: Eukaryota; Metazoa; Arthropoda; Insecta; Lepidoptera; Autostichidae.
UAUAUUUUAGUGUAGGAUGCACGAUAAUUUUUGAUAUUGAAGGAUAUAGUUUAACUCUAUAAAAUAUAA